RNAcentral lists this ribosomal RNA (244 nucleotides) under uncultured bacterium. RNAcentral's name for it is "partial 16S ribosomal RNA". It matches the Rfam family "Bacterial small subunit ribosomal RNA", at positions 1256 to 1500 of the family's 1533-position model. The record is from RNAcentral.
AGUGAUGCAGAGCAAAUCCCCAAAAGCAGUCUUAGUUCGGAUUGUAGGCUGCAACUCGCCUACAUGAAGUCGGAAUUGCUAGUAAUCGCGGAUCAGCAUGCCGCGGUGAAUACGUUCCCGGGCCUUGUACACACCGCCCGUCACACCAUGGGAGUCGGUAACACCCGAAGCCUGUAGUCUAACCGCAAGGAGGACGCAGUCGAAGGUGGGAUUGAUGACUGGGGUGAAGUCGUAACAAGGUAUC